GCUCCUCAACCCUAUCACCCUCAACACCAUCACCACCACAGUCGCCACCACCACCGCCAAGGCUCGAAUGUUGCUCCCGCAAUUUCACCUGCUCCGAGGGCUGAGAAAAGGGGAUCAGUUAGCAGGAAAGUUUCACCAAUAUUGGCACCUGUGCCAUCGUCUGCACCAGUGGUUGCACCUGCCCCUAUACAUUCAACUCACAAAGGUCAUGUGGCGAAACCUCCUUGUCAUUUCGAGAGAUUCCCAAGGAAGGCGACUAGUCAUCCUCCUGUACUACCGCCUAUUAGGUCACCAGUCCCUGCACCUCAUAUUGCUCCCUCUCCACCACAGAAAAUGCAUGCUCCAACACCAGUCCCGCAUGAACUCUCUGCGUUGAGCCCAUUGCCCUCUGUUGUGUAUGCUCACACUCAGCCUCCUCC
This 419-nucleotide long non-coding RNA is filed under the name Nicotiana tabacum (common tobacco). RNAcentral's name for it is "long non-coding RNA (NTAB_LNC008043)". Lineage: Eukaryota; Viridiplantae; Streptophyta; Magnoliopsida; Solanales; Solanaceae. The record is from RNAcentral.